Molecule: small nuclear RNA, 157 nt
Filed under: Phytopythium vexans DAOM BR484
Lineage: Eukaryota; Oomycota; Peronosporomycetes; Pythiales; Pythiaceae
Description: Pythium vexans DAOM BR484 snRNA EPrPVex00000013117
Rfam family: U11 spliceosomal RNA
Source: RNAcentral
AAAAAGGGCAGACCAUCACAAAUAUGGCGCCUGCUCGACCCUGAAACGCUGUUUUCGUGGGCGGCGGUGGCGAAUCGCGAUCAAGAGAUUUGCUCUGCGUAAUUUCUCCAACGCUGGGCUUGAAGCGGAAUGGGCCAACUUGGCUAAUUCCCCCCAG